This is a non-coding RNA of Dermacentor albipictus, 312 nucleotides long. Lineage: Eukaryota; Metazoa; Arthropoda; Arachnida; Ixodida; Ixodidae. The record is from RefSeq and is a predicted model, not a curated record.
AAAGAAACCAUCGUUGUAUGCGCGCCUCGCCAUCGGAGGAGCGGGCUGUCGCAGACGCGUGGACUGUUUUCGCUGCCUGUGGGCAAGUCCGAACGAACCAGGCAGGCGUUGCAUUCUAUACGUGUCGGUCAGACAACCUUCGCCACUGCGUCGAUCCGAGCGAAUGUGCUACGCUGCCUGGAGCGCUGGCCGUCCACUCACGCACCCAGAGCGGCCAUCGCAGCGACAGUUGCCGGUUGGCUCGCCGACCCCUCAGUCACGUCCGGUCGUCGCCCUGUUUGCCGAAGCCCCGAGCGCACCGUGACCCCAGCA